GGAUGUCAGUUUGGGUAAGUGGCAUGGAAAUGUCUACCGCGGAGGGUGAAAGUCCCGUCCAGCCCAUUCAGGACAUUUCGCACGAAGUUGCUCAUAUGAGUCGCGUAGCUUGUGAAUGCUGCGCUAAGUCGGUGGUAAAUCUCAUCGAAGGCUAAAUACUGGUAGGAGACCGAUAGUGAACAAGUACCGUGAGGGAAAGAUCAAAAGCACUUUGAAAAGAGGGUGAAAAGAACCUGAAACCGUUACGACAGAAGCGUAUUGCGUUGAAUUGAGGGCUGUUUAACUCUUCAGCUGAACGUGAGUUUAGUGUACUGAGUUAAGUAGUUAUCCGUCGUGCCUUUUCUGUGGCUGAUAUUGAGCCGCGGGAGAGGGAGGGAUCCCCUUUAUGGGUGAGGACGAUGGAGUGGCAACGCGAUGCGACCCGUCUUGAAACACGGACCAAGGAGUCUAACAUGUUUGCGAGUUGAAGGGUAGUAAACCUGGAGGCGCAGUGAAAGCGAACUUCUAAAACGGACAGUUUGUGGCGGCAUAAAAUCGUUGAUUUUAGGUCUGACUAAGAGCAAAUAUGUUAGGACCCGAAAGAUGGUGAACUAUGCUUGAGUAGGCCGAAGGCAGAAGAAAUUCUGCUGGAGGGCCGAAGCGGUGCUGACGUGCAAAUCGCUCGUCGAACUCGAGUAUAGGGGCGAAAGACUAAUCGAACCAUCUAGUAGCUGGUUCCCUCCGAAGUUUCUCUCAGGAUAGCGGGCCGACAAUUAUUGUUUUGUGCGGUAAAGCGAAUGAUUAGCGCACUCGGGGGCAUUCAGUCUUCGGUCGAUUCUCAAACUUUUAAUGCGCAAGGGGGCUGCAGCUUAGGUGUGCGGCUCCUCUAAAAAUGUCGGCCUUGUGGGCCACUUUUGGUAAGCAGAACUGGCGAUGUGGGAUGAACCAUACGCGUGGUUAAGGCGCCAAAUUACUCGCUUAUAGACCCCAC
Molecule: ribosomal RNA, 970 nt
Filed under: Lomentaria articulata
Lineage: Eukaryota; Rhodophyta; Florideophyceae; Rhodymeniales; Lomentariaceae
Description: eukaryotic LSU rRNA
Rfam family: Eukaryotic large subunit ribosomal RNA
Source: RNAcentral